CCCCCCCCAACCUGGGGUUUGCUCACAUAACUGCGUUUCUGGCUAGCACGAUGGUUGCAUUGCUUUUAUGUAUCGCUGGCUUGUUGGUUUUAUUGAGAUGGGACGAAAGCGUAGCACAAAACUGAAGCUGCAGUGGAAAAGCCACAUUACACUCUGAGCAGCUUUAUCCUGCAAUUAAGCUGAGGGUCAAACAUUUCCUUUGCUGUGCUAUCAGAAAAUCCGCUGGCUUAUUGCAGUGUAUAUUUAGCCAUGAAGUUCCCGCUGAGCUCAGAGUGGAAGGCUGAAAUUAUUGUGCUCCAUCCUCCCAGCGCUCUCAUUUAGCACAGUAGUUUUAAACACAGGUUUUGCAUGCAGGAAACCCUACGAACCACUAAAGUGGAGUGUUAGCUGCUUUCCUGCAUUUAAAAAAAAAAAGAAGAAGAAGAAGAAAGAAAAAAAAAGGGAUAUAUAUACAUGUAUUUUGGUUUGGCAGCAAGCUGCAUGGAGCAGCUCGCACGCAGCCUUCAGCCCCAUGCGCUGCAGCUCACCUGGGGGAUGCUUUGCUCUGCAGGAGGAGCUGCCAAACCCAGCUCUGCUGAAGCAGGCUCCAAUUUUACAUCCGACGUUGGCUCAGGCUGCUUCCAGCCCUGUGCUUAGCACUGCAGGAAGGAAGCUUUCAGGGCAUCCUCCACUGCUCUUCCAAGAGAGUCACCAAGGGGAGCGUACCCGCUGCUAGAGCUUGGCGCUGCUCAUCAUUAACCCUUGGGUGCUUCAGAUCAGAUCCUAAAAGCCCUCUACAAACACCAUCCGCAACCACAAGCUGUUUCCCUCCAUCCCGACCUGGAUUUAUCACUGGGAGACAGAUAGAUUUUUCCUUCUUUCUCCCCAUCCAUUUAUUUCACCCAAUGAGACGAUCCAUCACGGCGCGCUGGAACCGACCUACGAUCCGGGGAUAUUCUUAGAUACUCAGCAUGUCAGGAAACGGCUCACAGCCCCACUUGAUGCAAAUAUUUGGACGAGCGAGAGGUAGGAAGGAUUGUCCAAAUGUUUACUGAAGGCUGUUGAUAGCCCAAGGAUUUAUAACUGGCGCAUAAUGCCUGCCCCCACACAGCUCCUCUAGCAGGUGCAUCCAGUUUCAGCAUGACACAUGGUAUGUGCGUGCUCUGGGAACGGGGAUGCAGGAGAAAGUGCUUUCACAGGUCUCGCCUCCCUCUUCCCAUCUCCAUUAAGGUUUGGAGAGGCAAGAAGGGAGCCCAGGGCCAGCUCUGGUGAUAGAGAGCCUCAGCAGCAGUUCACAUGUGAAGACAGAACAUAAGCAUUGAGCGCUUUGGGUUGGAAUUUGCCAAGUGAAGCCAAGGCUCUGAAUUAUUGAGGCCCAUUGUCACACUCCUUCGGAGCUGAGAUGGAGAAAUUCACAUCAUUCUAGCUAUUGCUCUUUGCAUUUCACUUCCUAACUCACACCAUCAGGGUUUGAUCUCUUUUGUCUCACAAUAAUCCCUAAUUACUGUUGAGGGCACAUCACUGCUUACUGAUUGGGUUUAAUAUUUUCUAGUGUCCAAGGAGCAGCAGUUUUUUGGUGGCUUUGAGGACCCCUAUGGAAAUGCCCCAGCAUCCAGGCAGCCCCUACACCAAUAACAGAGAACAACAAGCUCAGAGCAGAUCAUGUUGGCCAACUAGAGUUGGAGAUACACUCAAGGAAAGCUUCAGUACCUUGCCCAAGGCCAAUGAGUGAAGGCAUUCAAUGGCAAAAGAAGUCAGUUUGCUGAUACCCUGUCCUGCAUAGAUGCUCUCAAGUUGCAGGGAGACCUCAGAUGACUCCAACACAACCUCUUGUUCUGAGCAUGACCCAUACAAGAUCAGUUUGCUGUGGCUUUGUGUAGCUGAGCCUUGAAAACCUUCAAGGACAAAGCCCAACAGCCAUGCACACAGAUAGUUCAGGCAGCAGAGAAACUGUUGGUGCCCUUUUGCCCAUCCAACCAGGCUCUCAGACUCUGCCAGGGGCUGUUUUGUCUGUAAGCAUUUCUACAUGGCAUUACUGAGAAUCCUAUGGAGCAGGAGAAAUGAGCGCAGAGCUGAGUCACUCCAGCCUGCAAAUUGCCUUUUCCUCAACCAUUUGCUAGAUUUUAACUAUCCUAGGAACAAGAACACAUGCACUCAGCAUGCUGUAGACGCCCAGACAACGUGCUUUUCUGUGUAAGGAGCAGCAAUUGUAUCUGCUGCAGAACAGCCUUUAAUUCAUUGCAGCCCUGGACGGCAGAGUUUGCUGACUGCUCAGGCAGGAAUACAAUGGCCCUAUUGUUUUGCUAAGGGAAGAUUUCUUUGUUGCACUCUAAUGUGUAAACUGUAUGUUUUCUAUUUGUUACCUGAUUCGUUUCAAUGGAAUCCCUUAGAUAGGCUUAAGGCUGUCUGCUGUCCUGUGCUAGAGCAAUGGGAGAAGCUGGGAGGUUGAGGACCUGGUUGUUAGUGUUCCUUCUAUUUGGCUUGCUCGGAAAGAAGGAAGAGAAUUUGGUGUUCUUUGUGGGAGCAGAAACUGCAUAAUAAAAUACAUGGGGGAAAAAAGUAGUAAGUGCUCAAAUUCCAAAAGUCAUCUUCUGUGCUCAAUGAAGGUUUUCUUUAUAUACCAAAAGAAUUUAGUCCUGGUUUUGGUGUCACAUUCUCAGUGUGACCUUAAAAGUGUAGCUGUAACUCAGACUAAACCAGAUUUCUCUCUCCUUGAACCUAUUUCUCAACAAUCACCCAACAGUGUGGAAAUGUGUUUCCUAGAUGAGAAUCUUGAGCCAUCAACAGGCCCCAGGCCAGAGGGAUUCUGCAAAUGCAUAUGGUGGUCAUGCCUUGCACAGCCCAAAGCCUUCUUCACAGCUGUGCCAACCAUGUUUCCAUACCAAUCUCUCCAAUUUCUCUUCGUGUUAGCAGUGGGAUUAUCUCCCUGGACUUGCUGGGUUGUGGUAUGGAGACAGUCUCCCUAUAGAUCUCCUUCCACAGGUUCUCCUCUCCCCAGACCCUUUGUGUAGAUGGAGUAAAUCUGGGGUUCAAAAGAUUGGUAAAAGGAUUGGAUUAAAGGCAUUGCAGCCCAAAAAUACAAGCCUAAAAUCUGAAUUUGCCUGUCUGAACCCAGACGCAUCCACAGUGCAUGGGGGCAACAGCAAGCUGUGGCAGAAGAGAGGAUCUUCUGCAGAUAAGUUCUCUGGCCUCUGUCAGAGCAGAUUUAGGAGAGGAAGACUGUGGAUAUCCAGUUAAAAACUGCAAAACCAGUAGGAUCUGGUCCAGGCUUAACCAAAGCAAAAAUAAAUCAGCUCAGUCACUGGUGUGUUUCAGUGCAUUUGGGCUUAGAGGCGAUGUGGGUGAUGGCUUGUGGUCCAGACCAGCGUGGUGCUUUUAGAUAUAUAUAAUUAGACGUUUUUUCUGCUGCAAACCAUUACUGACAGAUUGAAAGGGUUUCAUUCUGCAGGAUUUUUCUUGCCUUGUCUGCCAGGGAGCAAGCAGGCCUCACUCAAACUCUGCUUCGUUGGUGUAAAUCACAGCAUGGGGCUACCUUAUCUCAGCCAGAGCCCCUGUGCAGGAAUGCUGCUCUGUCCAGCCCUCAGGCCACCCACCCCUGAUCCCAGGCUCCAGCAUCUGCUCCAGGCUCCAGCUCUGACCCUUCAGAGACGUAUUUUUGCAAGGUCAGGAGGUUGGGUGGUAAAAGGGGAGUGGAGAAUAGCAGGGAAACAGUGAAGGCUGGCUCUGCAAAGGGAUUUCAGGAGGAUGUUUACACUCGCCAUUAAAUGCAGGCUUGAGCCUGUUCUCUUCUCCAGAUUCACUACCCAUCUGCACUGUUUGCAUGCAAGCAUGCAUGAGGCACAGGCACGGUCCCAGCUUCAAAGCCUUCUGGAUGAGGGUGGUCCAUGCAUGCUCUGAACCCUUGGGCCUUGGUUGUGCAACUUGGGCCAAGCACAGCAAGGUAGGAGCAGUGAGACAGCCAGCCCUGCUGGGCAUCUCUGGGUCCUUCACAGGGCAACAAGAAUGCUUUCAGCACCAGUUAAAAUGUCAUAGAGAAAAACCAUAUGGAAAAGAGGCAGAAGAAGGAUUGGAUGUGGCUCUGGGCAAUCUGGUCUAGUGGUUGGAGACCCUGCACAUAGCAAGGGGAUGAAACUAAAUGAUCCUUGUGACCCUUUUCAAUCCAGACCAUUCUAUGAUUCUGUGAUUCUAUGAUUCUAUGAUUGGGUCAAGAGCCUUUCCAAGAAACGGCUGCACAGGGGUCGCUGGACACAGCCUGACUAUCAUCAGGAACAAGGAGAGACUGUGCUUGCAUCACGCCAGGAGACAUUUUGAUUAAGAGAGAGCAUUCCAAGCAAAAUUCUGAUUUUCUUAAACUGUUAAACUGAAAAUGGGUUUACAAAAUGGUCUUCUGUGCAGACAUUUGGGUACAAAUUUCUUCCCGAAUGAAGAGGAAAAUGUCAUUUCCUUUCCUAUACAAGCUGAUCUCAAUGCAGGAGAUGAAGACUCCGAGCUUUUCCCAACGAAGUUGAGGGUUUGCUGUCCAAUAGAGUGGGUUGUGUGGUGAAUUCUUCCCAAACUACUCACUGCAGUAAACUAUCCCAACUGCUACUGAGCCUUUCAGCGAGUGGUUGAAUCACUAAGCCUGAGCUCUGGGAAGGCAGCCCCAUCCAUCCCAGCCCAGGCUGCACCUCCCUGGGGCUGGGUGCCAUCCCCAGUGGUCCCAUCCCCAUCCAACAGCCCUGAGGCCAAACCACCCACUGCAGCGUCUACGAAUACAAUUCCCAUUCCAGCCCUUGCUUUCCUACAUGGGAGCUUGCAUCCUUCCCUCCUCCCUCCGCCCUCCCUGGUGGUGCAGCUGCUCGGCUCUGCGAGGGAAAGGCUCCCAGAUGUGCUUGAGAGGGAGCGGGCAGAGUCCCGAAUUCCACUCCGUGCUGUGCGGACUCUUUGUAUAUUUUGUUUUAAGGAGAAAAUAUGCAUCGAGUCCUCGGAGAAAGGCUGGGGACCAGGCACGUCCCUGUGAUCACGACGAGCACAGGGGCUGCAAGCCAUCCACCCUUGGCUUUUCUCUGCUUGCGGGAUGGCAGCUCUCAGCAUCAUCAUCAGCUGAAACCCAUCUGCAUUACACAGCAGGUCCCUAACCCCUUCGCUGGCUCAAAGCACCCUUCCAGAAAAUGGGAUUUUCUGCUAAAAGAAACCCCAAAAAUCAGGCACCUAACUGCUCACAUUUGCUAUUUUUAGUAUUUUUGGCUCACGAGCCGAGUGCCAUAUCAGAUCAAUAAAUAUUCACACGCUCCUAAGUGCUUUGUGGAGUAGGUUUCAUUGCAUUUCAAGCGCAUUUAGCUGUGGCACUUGGUAGCUACAUGGUUAUUGCGUGAGACAGUACGUUUAUGAAGUGUUGGCCUUCAUUUAGUUAAUCAUUUCAUUGAUGUGCAAUAUAAAAAUAGUAUGAAACUAAUUGUUUCCAUAGAAACAGGAACCCAGCAAAUUAUUUCGUAUCACAGCUUGGCAGAAGAAAAAGAAGAAACUGCUGUAAUUGUUCCCAUUAGUGAAACACAGAGGAUUCAUGCUCAAUCUCUACUACACUCGGCCUCACUUCUGCUGUGAAUUAAGGGACGAAAAGUCAGCGCAAGAACCACAGGAAAAAAAAGCACAGAAACAAUCUGCGCUUUAUUGAGUAUUUGUUGUUCUGCCACCAAAACAUUUUCCCUUCUGCUUUACAGGUUUCUGGCCAGCAGCUCCAAGGACUGUCACAACCAUGCUGUGCGCUUGGGAACAUCAUGCAAUGGGGCUUUAACUGUGAAUGGAGGACAUUGUGGCCCCACUAUGGGUGGGAUAAGAACAACUCUCACCUCAAGGCUCCCACACUGGCACAAGGUAGGGAUUUCUAUCACCUGCUUGCUAAGGAAGAGACUUGGAUAAGGCGUUCUUAUUUGAAAACGUUUUUGGAGGUCUUUGCAGUUUUGAAACAAUCUGUACAGUUAACAUCGAAGAAAGUGUAAUUAGACACUUCGAGGACUGGAAGAAAUUAACUCCAACCACAGACUGUCACUCAGACCAUUAUUUAAUUAUUCUCCCCAAAUGCGCAAAGCACUUAGUUUUAGAAUAACAGAAAAGAAGUCUAACUCCUCACCAAGAGCUAAGCCUCUGGGUGGGGACGCAAUGGGCUCCCAAGCCAUAGGAUGGGGACAGGAACGAGCACCUUGGGCACAACUUUGGGCUCUGAAGGACAUGAUUGAUGCCUGAAUGGCUGGAACACAGUCAACGGGAGUGCCCGGCCCUAGGUACAACAGGCUGUGGGAGAGAAGAUCGCCUUCAGUUUCCAACAUGCCAAGGAAACCGCUGAGAAAUUGCUGUUUUCCUUCUUCUGCAGCACCGCGCAGAGCCGUUGACUCACCCCUCGCUACAGAAACCUGGCUAGAAAGAGAUUAUUGUGAUUUCUGACUGUUUCUUUCCUAACUACAAAAGACCCCAUUCAUCUGGGCUAAUUUUGACGGGAGAGCAAGGGGUAUCAGUAGCAUGAACUGUAUCUGAGCGUCUCGACCGCAUUUCAGCAAGCCAUGCCUGUUGGCCAGUUCCAGCCGGUGAAAUGGAUAUCCUCCGUUUCAAGCUUUUUAGUGGAUCGUUUCUCUGGUUCUAAACAGAGGUAUCUUUUCUGGCCGUGGCAAGUUAGAGAAGUACUGACGAAGCAGAGACGGCCAUUUUCAUGGCAAGAACAAGAGGCCAUUUAAAAAGGGGGAAAAGGCCGUUCUGCUCAGUCAAUGCACCAACAUUCGUCUGCCUACACGCGCCCCGCAUGUGCACCAAGGCUGUGUCCAGAACAGUGAAUCUCUGCCUUAUUUCCAAGGGGUGAGCAUGAGCAAAACAUACUUUUAUUUUUAUUUUUUGAAGAUUUUGCUCAAUUGUGAGCCUUCUUGGAGCUCAGCUGGGACCGCCUGCAUGUGUGGGAAGGGCUGGAACAUAAUUGCUUUCAGCAGAUAUCACUGUAGUCUGUAAUUAAAACAUACGAGGCUGCCAGCUUCAAAUUUUCUAAGCGAUUUCAUCUGUAUUUGGGUGAUCACUUCUCUCUGAGAGGCUCUUAUUAAAUGAUAUUUCAAGUUCCAGCGCACUAAAUGGGUGAAAAACUGAUUUUGUCCUCUCCUUCUUGUAGUCCUACAAGAAGGACAAACUAGGCAGCAUGGAGAGGCAGAGCUCAGACCUCAUAAGCACAUCCCUUCACCAGGGAAAUGCUUGGUGAAAGCUGCUCAAGAAGUGCUGCUCCAGAGACAGAGCGGAAGGUGUUGAUAAAGUUUGUUAAAGAAAAGGGGGGGUGGGGGGGGAAGAAAGGCUAACAAAAAAAUCUGGCACCUCCUAAAUCAGAGUGACAAUUUCAGUGCAGUGUUUACAUGGGGUAGUAAAAAUAAAUUGCCUGAGACUGAUUAUACCCACAUGGCACUCUCCAGCCAACAGGGAUGUCCUCCAGUAUUGGAAACCCAACACAGGGAAACACAUGUGGCAAUCCUCAGCCCACUGGGGCCAGCACUGCUUUCUUCCUUGCCUCAAUAGAUGGAAGCAGCAAUGAGAAGAGGGAUGUGCAACUCCCCACCAAUGGACAUGAUCGCUUUGAGAACCACGUUUGGCUUACAAGGCCACUGCUGCUGAGUCCUACAAGGGCUGUGGGCAAAUGAGCAGAGUGGGCUUGGGGCAUCCUCAAGCUUUGAGAAAAAAUGCCUGCUGGAUCAAAAUGGGUAAUGGAAGAAGGCAAAGAUGACAGCAUCACUGUUAGAACUGUAAUGAGUCACAAAUGCUAUUUUGAUGGCUUUCUUUGAAAGAUGUACACAAGAGCCAACUGAUGUAACUAAAGAUCUCCUAGGCUUUAUAAUCAGCACGGCCACAAAUGCAUGUGGUAGAACACAUGAG
This is a long non-coding RNA of Centrocercus urophasianus (Greater sage-grouse), 7854 nucleotides long. RefSeq lists it as uncharacterized. The record is from RefSeq and is a predicted model, not a curated record. NCBI's taxonomy places the organism in Eukaryota, Metazoa, Chordata, Aves, Galliformes, Phasianidae. The transcript has 3 exons.